RNAcentral lists this ribosomal RNA (168 nucleotides) under uncultured Bacteroides sp. Its description in RNAcentral is "partial 16S ribosomal RNA". The stretch from base 38 to 168 matches the Rfam family "Bacterial small subunit ribosomal RNA", at positions 401 to 529 of the family's 1533-position model. Lineage: Bacteria; Pseudomonadati; Bacteroidota; Bacteroidia; Bacteroidales; Bacteroidaceae. The record is from RNAcentral.
UAAGCGAAGGGGAGACGGAUCUGAACAGCCAUGUAGCGUGAAUGAUGACUGCCUUAUGGUUUGUAAACUUCUUUUAUAAGGAAAUAAAGUGAGGGACGUGUCCCUUUUUGUAUGGACCUUAUGAAUAAAGAUCGGCUAACUCCGUGCCAGCAGCCGCGGUAAUAUAAU